RNAcentral lists this long non-coding RNA (23650 nucleotides) under Malus domestica (apple). RNAcentral describes it as "long non-coding RNA (MDOM_LNC014286)". The record is from RNAcentral. Lineage: Eukaryota; Viridiplantae; Streptophyta; Magnoliopsida; Rosales; Rosaceae.
ACGACCAUAAAUCCUAAGUUUAUUAUAGAUUUAAGCAUUGAAAAGAUAGCCUUUGCUUUCAACGAUAAAGAUGUCUGUGUUUUCCUGCUUGCCAAUGCGUUUUAAGUUUAUGGGUGUUUGUCAGCUUAUGUAUGUCUUUUGUGUGAUCAAAUAUUCGUAUUUCAAGACAUGUAAUUUAGUCGAGGGACAGUUUUGUAAGUAGUGCUGACUUUGUAUUAUAUUUUAACGGUUCAAACACCUAUUUUUUAAUUAUUUUUACAUAAUAUCAUCCAAAUUGAAAAUUAUAUUACAAUUUGAUUAAAUGGUGAUCAUUUUAGUGUUUUUAGAAUUGUUCAAGUUGUGGAAAACAAUGUCCUGAAAAGGAAAAAAAAAAAGUUUAGAAUGGGAGCACAAAUUAUAAGUCGUAUCAUCUCAAUUGAUCAUUUCGUGAACAAUCUCUCUAAAAAAAAUUGAAACCUACAGUCUUAGUACUGGCUGGUGAGUUAAGAUAAUACAAAUCGACCUUGCUCUUUAGGAUGACUAAUUCAACAAGGUUUAAGGAUUCAACUUGAAGGAGGUUCUAGAUGAUAUGGUUCUCAAGAAUUAUAGACUUGGAAGUGAAAUCUAUCAAAUUUGUUGUUGGAGUUUUCUCAUUUUUUUUAAUGGCUAUUUGCUCUGAUGUAUAUUAUACACGAAGAAAAAUAAAUGGUCUCACUGUGAAAGUGACAUUUUCUUGGGCAAAACAUUUUUCAUGGUUUAAGUACAAAUUAUGAACGUUGAUUCUUUAUGCUUAACCAAUAUAAUUGGAAGCUCUCCACCAAAGUUUAAAAAAAAAAAAAUGUAAAAGAAAAUAGAACAUCGAUGCUUCAUUUUCAACAUAUUAGGUAAUGCCCUAAUAUUGGCCCCCCAUGACAUAAGUAGGGAUUCUAAAUGUAUGAUAAUAUUAAGGUGAGAGUGAUAGAUCAGUAUGGGUUGGGUUGGUUUUCUCAACCCAGAAAUAGUAGCAAAUGGAUAUCGAUCUUAAGGGGAAACGAUAAUUUAAAAUAUAACUUUUAGAUUAACUAUAUGUCAUAGAGUGCAGUCUUUUCUGUUCGACUUUAACAUGGAUGAACUAUGAUAUAUAUGAUAUCGUGUUGAGUUGGGACUAGUUUAUCCAAACAUAGGACGUGUAUAUGACCACUCCACUAUUCCGAAGUUUUUUUUUGGAUUAGGAACACACAAUUUUGGACAAUUUCCCUACGAAUUAAAACUGAUUUUGUUGACAGAAAUGUAAACAAUAUGUUUUAUUUUUUUUAUGAACAUUCUGUUUAUUUAUGUGAUGCAGAGUAUUACCAAUACAGGUGUCACAUCCUGGUCCAAGCUUCACCACAUCCUGGGCUCAACUCCGUUGUAGCACGAUAUUGUUCACUUUGAGUCCCAACCACGCCCUCACGGUUUUGUUUUUAGGAACUCACACGAGAACUUCCCAGUGGGUCACCCAUCCUAAGAUUGCUCUCGCGCGAACUCGCUUAACUUCGAAGUUCCUAUGGAACCCAAAGCCAGUGAGCUCCUAAAAGGUCUCGUGCUAGGAAGAGAUGGGCAUGUACAUAUAAGGCUUAGAUGAUCUACUCCCCUGGACGAUGUGGGAUGUUACAAUCCAUCUCCCUUAGGGGCCCGACAUCCUCAUCGGCACACUUCCGGGUAGGGAUUGACUCUGAUACCAUUUUGUCACAUACCGACCCGGGGUCCACCACAUCCCAGGCUCGACUCGAGUUCCCAGAAACAAAAUCGUGAGGGCGUGGUCGGGGCCCAAAGAGGACAAUAUCGUGUUAUGACGGAGUCGAGCCCGAGAUGUGGUGGACCCCGAGUUGGGAUGUGACAUAAUGGUAUCAGAGCCAAUCCCUAGUCGGAAGUGUGCCGACGAGGACGUCGGGCCCCUAAAGGGGGUGAAUUGUAACAUCCCACAUCGCCCAGGGGAGUGGAUCCUCACAUGAUAAGUUCUCAGUGGGUCACCCAUCAUAGGAUUGCUUUCGCUCGAACUCACUUAACUUCGGAGUUCCUAUGAAACCCGAAGCCAAUGAGCUCCCAAAAGGCCUCGUGCUAGGAAGAGAUUGGCAUGUACAUAUAAGGCUUAGAGGAUCCACUCCCUUAGGUAAUGUGGGAUGUUACACAAGGCUCGUUGGAAAUUACUUUUAAAAAGGUUGAAAAUAGUGAAAGUGUUUUUACGACCAAUUCUUAGUAAAAAUGCAAUUGAAUCCUUGUAGAAAGAACUAGUGCUUCUUGCAUGAAGCACUUCAAAUGCUUUUAGAACCCAAAAAUAUUUUCUCUAAUAGUGCUUUCCGUCAUUUUAAAAAUAUUUCUAAACGAGCUCUAAGUUGUUAUUCAACGAUAUACUGUAAAGUAAAGCUAAAAUAACCAAAAUUAACCAGAAUCCUAGCUUAACAGUUUACGGGCUUAACCUUCUAGAUGUUCAUGCAUUAUUUUGUCUUUUUAAUGGACUAAAUUAAAGGAAAAUUAAAAGACACAAAAUAAGUGCGUAAAGGAGAAAAAGUUGGGUUUACCCAAAUCAUUUCUCAAAGGGGUGUGUUAUCCACACAUCUCAUUUUACUUCUCACACACCUCUUGAUAAUUUAUGUUCGUUGAUCUUCUUCAAUUCUUCCGAUCCGACGGCCGAAAAUUAAAAAGAUGUGUGAAAAGUAAAAUAGGGGUGUGGAUAUCACAUCCAUUUCUCAAAUAAUAUAUUAUUUACAAAACCCACUUUUAAUAUAAGUCAAUAGUUUACAGAUACGAAUGAAUAAACUAGAACGAACCAAGCCAAGUCUAAUACAAUGGGUAAGAAGAAGUGAGAUAAAAGUUGAGCCAAUAAUAUUCAAUGUUAAUGGUCUACAUAAAGAUAGAUGUCACUAUAUAAUAAUGUAGUAAUACUUCUCUUUACUUUCAAAUGACAUGUUUUUAUAAGUUUCGAAGGUGGUAAAUAACGAGUUUACACUUAUUUAUAUUUCCCAUCUUUUAAUUAUAAAUAUAUCGUUGUAUAAAAAAAAGAUCUACAUCAAAAUAAACAAUUUAAUUAAAAGCUUUCACAAUUUUUUUUUCCUUUCUAGAAAGCUAAUGAAGAACCUUAAUUUUUUGGAUUCUUUAGAUAUAAGUCCAUGCAACACUUAUUUUCUUGACAAAAACCCAUCUCAUUUUAAGCAUCCAAGUAAAACCCAAAUUUAAAGUAGACUGCCAUGUAAACAAAUAAAUACCUAUUAUUUUCAAACUAUAUAUAAUUGUGCCACAACAUUCUAAUUAUGUUAAUGAAUUUAAUUAUCCACCAUAAUUGUGGAAAAUAAGUGUCUUAUUAUUGUAAAAUUAUCUACUUUAUACUUCUCUUACCAUCAUAUGUUUCAUUUCUUUUAUUUGUUUGACAAUCAUUGUAGGUAAAUUAUUUUGCAUGUAUAUUAGACAUAUUUUGUUAAAAUUAUAAAUAUGCGUGCAAAUAAUUUAUCUAUAUUUGUAUGUAAAAUAAUAUGUAAUUGAUUAAUUUUGAAUCAAUUGGCUAAAAACAUUUAUUUAUUUUGUAGGUAAAUUAUUUUUCAUGUGAUAUUACAUAUAUACUAGCUACAUUUUGUUAUUAUUAUAUAGAGUGUGCAAUCAAUCGACAUCUUUUAUUUUGUAGGUAAAUUAUUUUGCAUGUAGGUAAAUUGUUUUACAUUUUUUUUUUUUUUUGCAAAUAUUAUUGGUAUUUAAUUAAUUUUGAAUAAAAAAAUUUAUUUAUUUUGUAGGUAAAUUAUUUUGCAUGUAUCAUUACGUAAAUUACUAGGAACUUAUAUUGUUAUUAUAUAUAUGUUGUGCAAAAUAAUUCUGAUAAUUUUGAAUAAAAUAACUUUUUUAUAUUUGUAGGAUAUAUUAAUUUACCUGUUAGCAUCAUGUGAAAAUAACUAUAUAAGGAACAUUGGUAUCAUGUAAAUUUUGUUAUUAAAUGCAUAGGAAUCAUAACAUUUAAAUUUUUUUCCAAAUCCCCAUAAGGUAUUUGAAGACAUUUAAUUGAAUGAAAUAAUGUAAAAUAAAUGUAGAUAAUAAGUGAGAGACCCAAAGUAAGUGUCCCUUCGGGGAUAUCCAAUAAAAAAGAGACCCAAAGUAUGUGUUAUUAGGGGUAAAUUAGACAUCCAAAAAUACAAAUUUUGCAAGUCAAACUUAAUUAUGAAUAUUGCUUAGUAGUCAUUGGGUAUUUGUUAAAGAAAUUUACAAUGAUGGGUUUUAGUUAAAGAAAAUUGAGUGGAUGAUGUAAAAGAAAAAAAAUAAAAUAAAUAUUGAAUGAUGAUGUAGAUCAAGAUUGAAUUGGUAUAUAUUAAAAAGUUAAUGAAACAUUAAUCAAUCUAGGAUCGGAAUUAAUUCCUAUGGGUUGAAUUGGUAUAUUUCUCUGGAAAAAAGUAGCUACAAAUUUUCAUGUGAAGAUCGGUGGCCAUGCAUGCAUAUAUAUCCUACGUUUAUAAUAAGUAAUUGGUUGAAUUUGGAUAUAUACUUCCACUAUUUGAUUAAUUUUAGUUUUUGUAAUCAAUGAUCCUAAAGAAUAAAGGAAGAUUUUAAGAUCGAAUGAAAGGAACCCCGAGAAUAAUAUGUUUGAAUUAUAUGGACAUGAUAAGUUUCUUAACCCAUUUGCCGGGAUUUUGGUAUGAAUAUAUAUUGGAAUAAUAUAUAGGUGUAUAGAUAUAUAUAUGAGCUCAUUUGUAAGUGUUUUAAAAAUUGAUUUUGGGUUUCAGAAGCAUUUAAAGUGCUUUUUAGAAGAAGCACCAUAUAUUUGCUUUUUGCAGAAGCACUUCAAGUUCUUUUUAAGAUUCACUUAAUUUUUUAUUAAGAAUUGGUUAAAAAAAAAGAAAACUAAUGAAAAGGGCUUGAAAACUUUAAGUUUUAAUGAUAAGGACAAAAUAAAGGGUAAAGUGAAUACCAGGAUUGACUUUUUAGUGUAAAAAUUUGGUUUUUCGUUAAAAUGAACAGUACCGGGUGCUUUUCGUUAAAGUUCCCUAAAAAAAAACAUUUUAACUAAAAGUGUUUCAGUCAUUUUAAAAGCACCUCCUAAAGAGCCCUAUAUUGUUUAAAUGACUUUGGUGAUCAAUGAUCAUGAAUGGAGUUGGAUUUGGAUUUGGUAAAUAUUUACCUAAAAUUAUUCACAUUCGAUGGGAUACAAUACCUUAUGCAUCUAGAAGUAGGAAGACAUGAAGCUAAGAUGUUGAAUUUAAAACUUGGAGGAGCAGAAUAUAUGAUAAAAUUGACUACCCAAAUCAUCAAGAUAUCUCGAUUUAGAGUCUGAGUUUUUGGAAGUUCACCCUUUUUGCAAAGUAGUCCACUCUCCAUCCCUGUGAUACAACAAAGAGACUGAUAAAAUGGUAUUUUCUUACCUCUUUGACAAAAGUUUGUUUUUUGCCGAAUAAAAUUGACCUACUGCACCUCAAUAGUUUUCCUCUUAAAAAAAAGAGUGAUGCUAGAAAGACUAUCUUUUCAGAUUAUGUUUUGUAAAUCAUAAAUGUGACGGUUGAUAGUUAAUUUCUUUAGUUAAAUUAUUAAAAAAUAAAUUCAACUGUCAACAGUUACAAUCAUGUAGUUUAAAACAUAUGAUUUAUAGAAAGUUUCUAUAACAUAUUCAUUUAGAAAAUACUUUGUGAAGUGGCGAAGCCAAAAUUUUCAUGUAAUGUGGUCAUGAUUUCGACCAAAAAAGAAAGGUUGAGCGAUUGUUUCAAUUUGUUACAUAUAAGAUGAUGCAUAGAAGGUUUAGCGAGUGUUUCAAUUUGUUACAUGAAUCUUUAAACUACCAUAAAUCCUAAGUUUAUUAUAGAUUUAAGCAUUGAAAAGAUAACCUUUGCUUUCAACGAUAAAGAUGUCUGUGUUUUCCUGCUUGCCAAUGCGUUUUAAGUUUAUGGGUGUUUGUCAGCUUAUGUAUGUCUUUUGUGUGAUCAAAUAUUCAUAUUUCAAGACAUAUAAUUUAGUCGAGGGACAGUUUUGUAAGUAGAGCUCACUUUAUAUUGUAUUUUAAUAACUACAUUGCAAAAGAUGAAAUUGGUAGAGAGGAAGAGAAAGAAUUGGUAGAGAAAAACAAGAGAUAUUGUAUUGAUUGAUUAGAGAAAAUGUAUAUAACUGAACUUAAGAAAAUGAUAGCUAUACAAUCCCUUAUAUAGCCAUAUAUCUCAAUUACAAUCAUACCCUUCGAACUAUAUUUAUGUUAUAUUAGUUAUUACUCCCCCUUAAACUAAACUUGGAGUAUCCAAGUGAAGUUUGAAAUAGCCAAGUAUUUGAGACUGAUCUGGACAAAUUCUAAAGCAACAAGAGAAUAACACUCUUGACAAAUUCUAAGGCAACAAGAGAAUGACACUCUUGACAAAUGACACUCUUGACAAAUUCUAAGCAACAAGAGAAUGACACUCUUGACAAAUUCUAAGGCAACAAGAGAAUGACACUCUUGGCAACAAGAGAAUGACACUCUUGACAAACUCUAUGGAAUCAAAGAAAGAAUGAUACUUUCUUAACCAUCAAGAAAGAUUGAUACAUAAGUACCAUACUUGACCAAUCCCAAAACUACUGAGCACCGGUCAACGUUAUAUCGUCAAGGACCCAUAAGAGUUUCCCUCCAACCAGGAGGCCAAUCACAGCGCGACACGUGUCGACAUCAGAAGCCAAUCAUAGCGUGACACGUGUCAACAUCAUAAGCCAAUCACAACACAACACGUGUCAAUGUCAGAAUGAAACUAGAAACUCUCUUUUAUAAAUAGAGAUCAUUCUCUCACAAUAUUUCCUAAUGUCAUUUGUACUAAAUCAUUCACUAGUACUCACUAAAGGAAAACUUGAACCUAUAUACAUGUGUAAACCCUUCACAAUUAAUGAGAACUCCUCUACUCCGUGGACGUAGCCAAUCUGGGUAAACCACGUACAUCUUGUGUUUGCUUCCCUGUCUCUAUCCAUUUACAUACUUAUCCACACUAGUGACUGGAGCAAUCUAGCGAAGGUCACAAACUUGACACUUUUUGUUGUACCAAAGUCCUCACUGAUUUUGUGCAUCAACAUUUGGCGCCGUCUGUGGGAACGACACUUAUUCCCACUCUCUUAAGCUUUGUUAAGGUGGUUUCCACCAUUUGUACACUCUCUUUUGACCAGGCAUCCCUCUCCAACAUGGGGAGCGAAGGAAGCCACAACAUGUAGAAUGACACCCCUCUUGCACUUGGUGCGAGGCAACGAAAGAAGGAAGGAAAGAGGGUUGCUCUUCAAGCUAAAGUCGAUGAGUUAGAAGCUCAGAACAACAAGAUAGCAAUGAAGAAUGAGGUCCUCCAGGAGCAGUAUGAGAAGCUCUUUGAGACGCUCCACGAAACUAGGCAUACUCAAACAUGCGAGCUCGUUACCCAUGUGGACAUCAACCAUCAUCUAGGUAUUGAAGAAAAGAUUACUCUGCGACAGAGUCCCGAGUGAAGGAACACUUAGUCCAAACUGGGAUGGACCGUUUGAAGUUGUUGGCAUCAGUCGCCCUGGUUCUUACAAGCUUAGAAGCUCCGAUGGCAAGACCAUUGGCCAUCUAUGGAACGCUAAUCACUUAAAGUACUAUUACAAGUAAACUCACAUUGGUUAAGUGUUAAGCUUCAGCCGCUCGGCAUCCUAUGUAACGAAGACUAUUUGGCAUGAAUUCAAUAAAGAGGUGAUUUAGACAACUCGGUCAUAAUCCUCUUACAUUCCUAGCAAUGAAACACUCGGGUUCAAAGCUUCAACAUGAAUGCUUCCAACAUGAAACAAAGUCUAAGUAUAUGUCAACAAUACUAUACAAAUAAACGAACAGAUUCACAGUAUAUUUGUUCAAUCGUACAUUCCAACACAUUCAUACAUAAGCCAACUGUGAUUUGAAAGGGUUCAACAUACUUCGUGUCAUUCGACACUUUCUACAAUGUGCCUAGACACCUUGCCCUUAUUCUCACCAAGCAGGUGAUGAAAUGUGAAGAAGGAACUCAUCUUCAUACUACCAACCAAGUGAUGAAAUGUACAACCCGUACUCUCCUUCAUGCCACCAACCAGGUGAUGAAAUGUACAACCAGUACUCUAAUAUCAUUUGGCAACUUGCCACUCAUGCCACCAACCAGGUGAAGAAGGAACUCAUCUUCAUGCCACCAACCAGGUGAUGAAAUGUACAACCCGUACUCUCCUUCAUGCCACCAACCAAGUGAUGAAAUGUACAACCCGUACUCUAAUAUCAUUUGGCAACUUGCCAUUCAUGCCACCAACCAGGUGAAAAAGGAACUCAUCCUCGUGCCACCAACCAGGUGAUGAAAUGUGAUGAAAAGUGAUGAAGGAACUCACCUUCAUACCACAAAUCAAGUAAUGAAAGCAACUCACCAUUCAUUCCACAUACCAGAAGACGAGUGGUACAACUUGUACAUGUGAACUCCUAGCAUUCACAAAUAAUAAAAAACCCCUCAAGCUUGACAACUCAACUAGGGGAGCACUUAUGCGCAACAAGAGUUAUAGUCACCAACAAAGUCUUAUUGCAAGCCAACAACAACUUCAGUGCAUGGCAUACGAAGAUCAAGCUAUUCAGCCCUCUUGCAUCUGCUUUAGACAUUUCCCCUCUGUAAUAAUGCAAACACUACAACUCGUAGAAAGCUUCACGCUCUUGAUCAAGACAGUGUGAAGCAAAACCAAUAUACGGUGCCAACAAGAGCUUCAUCAAGAGAGUUCAACCACAAUUCUCAAAAGCUUCACACACUCUUGAUCAAGACAGUGUAAAGCAAAACCAAUUUAUAGUGCCAAUAAGAGCUUCAUCAAUGGAGGGCAACCACAAUUCUCAAAAGCUUCACACACUCUUGAUCAUGACAGUGUGAAUCAAAACCAAUUUAUGGUGCCAAUAAGAGCUUCAUCAAUGGAGGGCAACCACAAUUCUCAAAAGCUUCACACACUCUUGAUCAAGACAGUGUGAAGCAAAACCAAUUUAUGGUGCCAACAAGAGCUUCAUCAAUGGAGGGCAACCACAAUUCUCAAAAACUUCACACACUUUUGAUCAUGACAGUGUGAAUCAAAACCAAUUCAUGGUGCCAAUAAGAGCUUCAUCAAUGGAGGACAACCACAAUUCUCAAAAGUUUCACAUACUCUUGAUCAAGACAGUGUGAAGUAAAACCAAUUUAUGGUGCCAACAAGAGCUUCAUCAAUGGAGGGCAACCACAAUUCUCAAAAGCUUCACACACUCUUGAUCAAGACAGUGUGAAGCAAAACCAAUUUAUGGUGCCAACAAGAGCUUCAUCAAAGGAGUUCAACCACAAUUCUUAAAAGCUUCACACACUCUUGAUCAAGACAGUGUGAAGCAAAACCAAUUUAUGAUACCAACAAGAGCUUCAUCAAUGGAGGGCAACCACAAUUCUCAAAAGCUUCACACCCUCUUGAUCAAGACAGUGUGAAGCAACACCAAUUUAUGGUGCCAACAAGAGCUUCAUUAAUGGAGGGCAACCACAAUUCUCAAAAGCUUCACACACUUUUGAUCAAGACAAUGUGAAGCAAAACCAAUUUAUGGUGCCAACAAAAGCUUCAUCAAAGGAGUUCAACCACAAUUCUCAAAAGCUUCACACACUCUUGAUCAAGACAGUGUGAAGCAAAACCAAUUUAUGGUGCCAACAAAAGCUUCAUCAAUGGAGGGCAAUCACAAUUCUCAAAAGCUUCACACACUUUUGAUCAAGACAGUGUGAAGCAAAACCAAUUUAUGGUGCCAACAAAAGCUUCAUCAAUGGAGGGCAACUACAAUUCUCAAACCUUCGAAGCAAAUUCAAGACUGUUUGAAGCAAAUUCAAGACUGUUUGAAGCAAAUUCAAUUUAUAUAGUUCAUCCAAACCUUUGACUACUACAAGGUGUGGCUUGCAUCACAAUCUCUUGCUCAAUAGUGUGGAAGCAAAAUUUGUGUAUGUUGUCUAUCCCACAUUUUCAAAUUUCUAGUUUCCCAAAAAAAAAAAAAAGGAAAUUCAACAAAGCUUCAUCAAUAGAGGACAACUACAAAUUCUCAAAAGCUUCACACUAUCUUAAUCAAGAUAGUGUGAAGCAAAAUCAAUUCGUGGUACUCAACAAAGAUUCACCACAAAAGUUUCAUCAAUGGAGGACAACUACAAAUUCUCAAAAGCUUCACACUAUCUUGAUCAAGAUAGUGUGAAGCAAAAUCAAUUCAUGGUACCCAACAAAAGCUUCAACUCCAAAGCUUCACCUCCAAAGCUUCAACUCCAAAGCUUCACCUACAAAAGCUUCACCCACAAUAGCUUCACCUACAAAAGCUUCACCCAUAAAAGCUUCACCAACAAAAGCUUCACCCACAAAAGCUUCCCCUACCAUAAAAGCUUCACCCACAAAAGCUUCCCCCACCACAAAAGCUUCACCUAUAAAAGCUUCACCAACAAAAGCUUCACCCACCACAAAAGCUUCACCCACAAAAGUUUCCUCCACCACAAAAGCUUCCCCCACAAAAGUUUCCCCAACAAAAGCUUCACCACCACAAAAACUUCACCCACAAAAGCUUCACACUAUCUUGAUCAAGAUAGUGUGAAGCAAAAUCAAUUCAUGGUACCCACCAAAGCUUCAACCUCAAAGCUUCACCUACAAAGCUUCACCUAUAAAGCUUAUUUUUUUUUCGGAAAUUCUAAAAUUCUAAAAUUCGAAAAUUCAAAAAUUCAAAAAACAAAAUUGCCUAGGCCUCUUCUUCUUUGGGCCUAACAAUUUUCAUAACAAAUAUAUAUGAAGGAGAAGUUUUGGGCUACUACUUAGAAAGGAAAAUGGUGAAGUUUUGUUACUUUGGAAACUUGGCUACUAGCAAGACACUUCCUUCGCCAACGCCCUCGACCGGAGACUUGGGGGACUCCUACCAUAUGCUACUGCACCUUGAUACUCGGAAGUCUUACAACCAUUCAGUGACUUGGAUUUUUUCAAGUCUCCAACCGAGAAGUUUUCCUCACUCGGGAAAUUAAGGGAGCACUACCUCAACCUACAUGCUUCACUCUCAAAGCUUCAACAUACAAGCUUCAACAAAAGGAAAAAUUCAAAGAACUUAGUGAAAAAAGUCUUGGUGUAUUUAACACAAUACGUUGAAAUGAAGCAAAACUUGUUUAUUGAUAUCUCCGAUAAGUUACAAAUAUGUACAUAUACAUGAAUUAAAUAAACAAACAAGAGGGAGCCUUCACAAAGGUUGUUCAGGAGAAGUCUCAGCAGUCAGCAGAGCCCCAGAAAGAGGAGGCACCAGAGGGUGAUUAUUCGGAGCCUCAGUACUAGGCAGAAUCCUAAAAGGAUGAGGCAUCGAUGGUUGAUCAUUUGGAGCUUCAUUACGCGGUACAGCCCCAAAAGACGAAGGCAAUAAAUGCCUUUAGAACAAACCCAUAAACCUCUGAUGAUCAAGUAAAAUCUGACCAUCAGAUUACUGCAGCUGGUCGAGCUUCCUCUUCAUGUUUGUAGCAUAGUCAUGUGUGAGCCUGUGCAACUAUUUAUUCUCAUGCUUGAGCCCUCUGAUCUCCUAUUUGAGACUUAUCACUUCAGCUGCCAAUGAUUCAACUUAGAGGGUUUAAGCAAAUAGGCGUUGGGCCAUAUUAAACACAGAACCUGCACAUUGAACACUGAGAGCCAGAGAAUCCUUAACAGCCAACUCAUUAAAGUUCAAGUCAAAAUGACGGUCGGAUGGGCCAGACAUUCUUAGAAAUGAUGAAGGAGAAAUGAGGUGCAAUAAAUCUCUAAAGUAAGGGGAAAAUUCCUACAAGCAACAACUCUCUGAAUGUACUUCUUGCACACAAUGGGUGCCCUUAUAAAAGAAAGGGUAACAGGACCGUUGGUUCAAAAAUUGAAGAGGCACCACUCUUCGGAUUCCAAAGAGGCACCACUUUCCACACAUAACAUCAGUUCAUCGGGUACCACAUACAACUUUGCCAAAGAUCUCUGACAAAGUUUAAACACAUAAAUUUUGAAGGUCCAGCUACCCUACUAUUACCCACAAGGGUAAAGGAACAACACCACUGCUUGAUAACUAGAAAGUCCCAAUGUGUGUGAACCUCCGUGCUCCGUGGCAAGGCAGACUGGCAAAAAUGCCCAACCUUUACUCACAUUCGAGAAAACACUCCUAACAAGAUUGCUUGCUCAAAAAUCGAAAAGCACCGCUCUCCGAAUCUCAAGAGCCAAACUCCCAACAAGAUUACUUUCUCAAAAAUCGAAGAGACACUGCUAUCUGAAUCUCAAGAGUCAGACUCCCAACAUGUAACAUCCCAUAUCGCCCAGGGGAAUGAUCCUUAAAUGUAUAUUCCCAUCCCUACCUAGCACGAGGCCUUUUGGGAGCUCACUGGCUUUGGGUUCCGUAGGAACUCCGAAGUUAAGUGAGAAUAAGGUUAGAGCACUCCCAGGAUUGUGAUCCACUGGGAAGUUGCUCGUGAGUUCCCAAAAACAAAAUCAUGAGGGAAUGGUAAGCCCAAAGCAGACAAUAUCGUGUUACUGUGGUGGAGCUGGCCUGGGAAGUGAUCCGCCCCGGGUCGGGAUGUGACACAACAGGAUUGCUUUCUCAAAAAUCGAAGAGGCACCGCUCUCCGAAUCUUGAGAGCGAGACUCCCAACAGGAUUACGUGCUCAAAAAUCGAAGAGGCACCGCCCUCGGAAUCUAAAGAGCCAGACUCCCAAUAGGAUUACUUUCUCAAAAAUAGAAGAAACACUGCUCUCCGAAUCUCAAGAGUUAGACUCCCAACAAGAUUGCUUUCUCAAAAAUUGAAGAGGCACCGUUCUCUGAAUCUCGAGAACCAGAUCCCCGAAAGGAUUGCUUGUUCGAAAAUCAAAGAGGCACCGCUCUCCGAACUUUGAGAGCUAGAUUUCCUUGGAUAAAGCUUGUCUGCAAUCUUCACACACAACAUUAACUUUUUAGAUACCACAGACCAUUUUUUCAAAGUGCUCUGACAAAGUUAAAAUGCGUGAAGCUUGCAGCUCCCACUACAUUGCUAUGAUCAAGAAGGGUAAAGGAAUAGCACUACUACUUGUUGUUAGAGAGACUCCUAUAUAUGUUGACCUUCAUCCUCCACAGCCAGGCAGACCUGCAAAUAAAAAAAAUGCUCAACUUUUCUUCACAUCCGAGAUGGCACUCUUAGCAGAAUCUUUCAAAAUACUUAGCUUAUUUUCCUCCCGAUAAUACCUCUGCAAACAAGCCACACCAGAGCAAGAGUAUCUCAUAUCAUCAGGGUUAAAAGCAAAAGUAUCCCAUAUCAUGUUUUUUCCCUGUAUUUUCCUUUGGCCUUGUUCUUACCUGCAAGACAAGGAGAAAAAGAGCAAUCAAUCAGCACUUGGAAUCAAGCCUCCAGUCAAGAACUGACUGCCUGGAAUCCCUUACCUGAUUACUUACAUGGCAUUGCUCUCGAGUACUCAUCUUCAACAUCUUAUGCUUUCAGAGAAGAUACCACAUCUACCUGAUGAACAGAUAGGGCAAGUGAGAAGGAUACAAUGAAGCAUGUCGAGACAAGCGUAACAAAACACGUGCCGAUACAUCCACUACUUUGUCAACAGCAAAAGUAUCUCAUAUCAUCAAGGUCGAACGUACUCUAGAUUUGAUGGACUUGUUUUGACCCUCAAAUUCUUGAGUCGGCCUUAUAUUCUGGAGGAAACCAGAAAACCCUCAAGCCCAAUUCAAGAAUAAGCCUGUGGAAAGUUACUUAUUCAACAGCAAAAGUAUCUCAUAUCAUCUCUUCUCCAUUUACUUCUCCUUAUCCUUGUUGUUGUUUACGACACAAGGAGAAGGAGAACAAUGAACCGGAAGCCGAAGUCGAACCUCUGAUCCAGGUUACUUGCUUAGAAGUCUGAUUGCUUACCUUGUCUGUUACCUCAUUCGGCAAAUCUCCUAGCUCGGCAACUUGGGGGACUCCUACUAUAAGGUUUGUAUUGCACUUGACCAAGCCCGAAACUACAAGUAAGCUUCAAGUGAAAUUGAUACAUUACCUUGUGCAUUUUCAUCGAUUAAAGAUACCACCCCUGGAUGGAGGAAAAGUACUUCCAGAGAAGAUGUCACAUCUACAUAUGAGACAGAUAAGGCAAGUGAAAAUGAUAUCACACUUCGGUACUUAGAAGUUUCUUGAUUACUCAAUGGCUUGGAUCUUGCAAGUUCCCAACCGAGGAGCUUCCCUUACUCGGGAACUUAGGGGAGCACUGUUUAUACCAUACUUGACCAAUCCCAAAACUACUGAGCACCGAUCAACGUUAUACCAUCAAGGACCCAUAAGAGUUUCCCUCCAACCAGGAGGCCAAUCACAGCGCGACACAUGUCGACAUCAGAAGCCAAUCAUAACGCAACACAUGUCAACAUCAAAAGCCAAUCACAACACAACACAUGUCAAUGUCAGAAUGAAACUAGAAACUAUCUUCUAUAAAUAGAGAUCAUUCUCUCACAAUAUUUCCUAAUGUCAUUUGUACUAAAUCAUUCAUUAGUACUCACUAAAGGAGAGCUUGAACCUAUGUACUUGUGUAAACCCUUCACAAUUAAUGAGAACUCAUUUACUCCAUGGACGUAGCCAAUCUGGGUGAACCACGUACAUCUUGUGUUUGCUUCCCUGUCCAUAUCCAUUUACAUACUUAUCCACACUAGUGACCGGAGCAAUCUAGCGAAGGUCACAAACUUGACACUUUCUGUUGUACCAAAGUCCUCACUGAUUUUGUGCAUCAACACCCUUUUAACUAAAUUUAUGUUAUAUCAGUUAUUACUCCCCUCUCAAACUAAACUUGGAAUAUCCAAGUGAAGUUUGAAAUAGCCAAGUAUUUGAGACUAAUCUAGACAAAUUCUAAAGCAACAAGAGAAUGAUACUCUUGACAAAUUCUAAGGCAACAAGACUCUUGACAAAUUCUAAAGCAACAAGAGAAUGACACUCUUGAAAAAUUCUAUGGAAUCAAAGAAAGAAUGAUACUUUCUUAACCAUCAGAAAGAUUGACAUUUUCUUGAAAUCUUGUAAUCCAACAAAAACACUAAAUGAAACAGUAGUUUAUCCCAGCAGCCACACCAACUUCUGCUCCUGAUUUAGCUACUCCAAAAAAUACUUCCUUAUCAUCCAUUUCAUUCAAGCCUUCGAUUCCCAUGACCACAAGUAUCUCCCAGUGCAUUCUCAACUGCUCGCUCUCCAAUUGUUACAUGCAGUGGCAUAACUACUACUUCACCAGGUGGCAGCCCCCUCUUGAAUUCGAUAAAGCACAUCAUUGUAUAGAUCUGAAGGGAAAGUUACCACUGUUAAAUAGAGCUGUCAAAAGUUAGUUAGGGUUUUACCUUUGUAAUUGACCCUUGUAAUUAAGUUGUUACUUUUAGCUUCCCUAUAAAUACUCUUGUAACUUAAUCAUUAAAUAAUGAAAUCAGUUUUUCAACAUGGUAUCACCGAGCCUUCCGUCUAACGACUUCUGAUUCCUUGGGCGAUUUUCUUGAAUUUUCUUAUCUACCAAACAACUCAUUCUUGCAUUUUCUCACCUACCAAACAGCUUUGUGCGAGUCAAUGGAGGCAAAUUCUUCUCAUUCUUCUUCUCCAGUGAUUGAACCACUUAAUCUUUAUCUGAUGCAUACUGUUUGUCUUCCAACUGCCAAUCCUGUCUCUCAUCCGAUGAACACAAGCCCUAAUUCUUCUAUCCAAGCUUCAAUCAACUCGAUCACAAUUAACAAUAUCGGCAGCAUGAUUCAAACAAAGCUGAAGCGCCACAAUUAUCUUGUAUGGCGAUCUCUCUUUGAACCGAUUCUUUCGCCCUUACAAACUCACCGGCAUCAUUGAUGGAUCUGAGCCUUCACCGUUGCGAUUUCCUGUUGAUAGCUCUGGAAAUCUCUCUUUGAUUCCGAAUCUGGAGUUCGAUAUCUGGUACGAGAAGGAUCAAAACAUCAUUAUCUGGAUCAAUUCUACUAUUUCUGAAUAUUUGAUUCCAUUCACAGUCGGUGUUCAAUAUGCGCGUGAUCUUUGGAUGAAUCUUGAAAAACGCUUUGGCGGUGUCUCUCGUUCUCACAUUCAUCAACUGCGCACGAACUUACAAUCUAUAAUCAAAGGCUCAUCGUCCAUCUCUGAGUACUUGUAGCGCAUCAAGGAGAUUACUGAUGCUCUUGCUGCAGCUGGCGCUCUAGUUGAUGAUCAUGAUCUACUUCUCAUCAUACUUAAUGGUAUUCCUGAUGAAUAUGAUUCCUUUGUGGACUUGGUUCAAUUUGAUUGGCUGAUACUUUUGUUGAUGACCUUCAUGGAUUCUUACUUAGCAAGGAAAUGACAUUUGCUCGCAAGAAACAACUACAUGGAUCUUCUACAAUAGAGUCUUAUCAGGCUCUAAAUUUCAUUUUAGCACCAUCGACUCUCCCUCAUUUGCUUCCUACACCUCAAGCAUACACUGCUCAGAACACCAAUCCAGGAUGAAAUUGUAGAGGCAACUUUCAGCGUCAUAACAACUCCUACAAUAAUCGUAGAGGCAAUCGCUAUCGCUCCAACCGCUACAAUAAUCAGUCUUACAAUCGGGGAGGAAAUCGUGGUGGUUUUUGCUACUCUAACAAUCAUUUCAAAGCCAAUCCGUGCCAAAUCUGUGAAGAUCCCGGUCAUCUUGCUAUUGAUUGCUUAAACAGGAAGAAUCCUAACUUUCAAGGCCGAGUUCCACCAGCUAAACUUGCAUUGGAUGCCACGACACACACUUCUUCUCAUCCUCCAUGGUUGCUUGACUCAGGUGCAAGUACUCACACGACCAACAAUUUCAGCAACAUUCAGAAUCCACAACCAUACACUGGUCUUGACAAAGUAUACAUUAGAGAUGGCCAAGGUUUGCCAAUUCUCCAUUCUAGACCUUUAGAGUUAAUUCAGGCAGAUGUUUGGGGACCAGCUCCAUUGUUUUCUGUAAGUGGCUAUCAGUUCUAUGUCAUCUUUGUCGAUGACUUCACUAAAUAUACCUGGUUGUAUCCACUCAAGUCUAAAUCAGAUGUAUUUCAAACUUUCAUUGCAUUUCAAGCACUUGUUGAAAAUCUGUGUGGUUAUAAAAUUGGAACUUUGAGAUUUGAUUCAGGGGGUGAGUUUCUCAGUUCUGAUUUCAAGAACCAUCUUUUGGUUCAUGGCAUUCAACAUCAAUUGAGCUGUCCACAUACACCCCAGCAAAAUGGUUGUGCAGAAAGAAAACACCGACAUGUUGUUGAAACUGCAAUGACUCUUCUCAUUGCUUCUCAGGUACCACAUUGAUAGGAUUAAAAGCACACAACAAAGUAGCACACAAAUGUCCUAUUGAUUUUCCUUAUUAACACUAAAAUUUGUCAAUUGUAGCAUAUGAAAAUAAGGGUCUUUUCCGCAGAAGAUUGUUUUAUCCAACUACUUAAAAUGUCACAAAAACUGGUUGUUGUCCCUACUGACUAGCCACCGAAAAAUAAUUAUUAGACUGACUUACACUUAUCUAAAGUCUACGAAACUUUAUAUAAACACACUAGACACACAAAGCUACACUCACACAAAUAUUUAGGAUUUUUGGAGUUGAUUUGCUAUUUAAAUUAAAUUGAACAAAAACAGGACAACAACAUAUUUUAAGUAGUUCAUAAAUUAAGAAAAAACGAGUUAAGGGAAUUGCUAUCCACCACCAAAUAAUCAUGCAAACAUGUUAUGUUUCAUUCAAAUUCCUUUUAUUUCCGAAUGAAGAUGCUCAAGUUGGCUCAAUGUUAGAACUCAACCUAUUACUCUUUCUUAUUUAGUAUGUUAAGAGAAUGGCGAUUUCAACUUAACUUAGUUCCUAGCAUGCAAUCUAGAAUGGCGUGUUCAUAGAUUUAACAAGUAGAAAUCAUUAAGAACAAAAAGAGUUUGAGUCGUCACAAGGCAUCGUAAGUACUAGUGUUGUCUUACUUAUCCUAGAAAUUGGUUCACAUGUUAAUCGCAAUUAACAAGCACUACUCUAGAACAUAUGUAGGUCCUCAUUCGACAAGGGCAGGCACACACAUAUUCAUAGCGUUAGAAUCCUAGAUAUGCUUACUACGUAUGCAUCCAUAGAAAACAAAUAAAGAAUUCAUCAAUGAGACAAGUAGUGAACCAAUUUUCAUCCAUUCAUAAAAGUAAUUCAAACGAAAUGUCAUAACAAACUUGCAAUCAUAUUCGGGGCUUCAAAACAGCCCCUAACUACUAAAAAUUUAGUUACAAACAAUCCUUAAGUUAAAACAAAAGAUAGACAUGAGUUUGAGAAGAUAGAACCGAAAGAAAUCGACUGAGGCCUCCUCCUCACUUCUUUCCUUCCCCAACGCUGCUUUUAAACCAAUUCUUGCUGCAUCAUUUUCUUCUCCUUAACUCACCCACUAAUAGCAAUUUAAUGAUGACAAUAAGUGAGAGGAAAUGGUAAACAAUUGUAACUCUUUGGGUAGCCCUUAUGCCAAUUACUCCCUCUUAAUCCUCAUCUUUAAUUCCAUUCCCUUUUAUAUUUGAAUAAGUGUCAGCUGACUUGUUCUUGGCUGCAUCAGUUUUGGCUGCUAAAUUUAUUGGGUUUAUUGCUUCCAUUGCAGUUACAAACUACUCAGCCUCUUGGUAACCUUUCAGUGUUAAAAUUGCCAUAACUUUUUCUAUACAAAUGAUAUUAACAAUCCGCGAAAUUCUCCAGAAAAUAGACAUCCGUAGCUUUCCAAGCAUAUAAGGCUCAUUCUCUAUUUCAUUCUGAGUUGUUCGUAACUUGCUUCCAAAUUUAGCUGAUCUGCACAUGCAGUUUUGACGAAUUUGUCACUUAAAAUCCCACUUGUACUAUUUUUCCUUUCUUUGCUUGACAAAUCCCACAAACACAAAAACAAAGUAAAUAGCUCAAGAAUAUAAGGAACUAGCUAAGACAAAACAGGUGAAUUUGAUGUAAAAUAUAUAUAAAUAUGAGCUUAUCACACAUUAAUUAUGGGUAGAAGCCUUUCUCACAGCAAUAUACUUAAUCAAUAUGCUACCUCCGGUGUCCAAACCUUCACCAUGGGAACAAUUAUUCAAAAAGUGUCUAGAUUAUUCCCAGCUUCGAAUUUUUUGUUGCAUCUGUUUUCCUUGGCUUAAACCUUUUACAAAGUCCAAACUCGACCCCAAAAGCAAACCAUGUGUCUUCAUUGGCUACAGUCUCUCCCAUAAGGGUUACAGAUGCUUGGAUCCUUCUACAAAUUGAGUUUAUGUAUCUCAACAUGUCCAUUUUGAUGAAACAACAUUUCCUUUUCACAAUCCCACACUACUUUCCCAAAAAUAACCUUUUUGUUCCUCCUUCCCUCAUUCAUUCCCAUUUUCUCUCACUUUUCCAAAUCUUUACUCUCCAUCUCAGCUUAUUCAUAAUUCCCAUUCUACCCCAAUCUCUCAAACUCAUGUAGCUUCACCACGCUCACCAUCACCUCUAAAUUCCAUUCCUGCACCUACAAUUCCACCAGAUGCACCAGUUACACAUCCUACACCAUGUUCUUCUAUCCCAUCUGAACUUGCCACUACAAAUCCACCAGCUUCAUCAUCAAACCUCUCCAUUCACCCUAUGCAAACUAGAUCCAAAUCAGGAAUUUUUAAACCCAAAGCCUUUAUAGCAACCAAACAUCCACUCCCUUCUCACAUUGACACUGAGUUUGUUCCUUCUACAUAUCUCCAAGCAUCCAAGUAUUCACACUAGCGAGCUGCAAUGCAAGAUGAAUUUAAUGCAUUACAAAACAGUGGAACUUGGAAACUUGUGCCUUCUGAUUCUACAUACAAUAUAGUUGGUUGUAAGUGGGUUUUCAGAAUCAAACGAAAGCCUGAUGGUUUUGUGGACAGAUACAAAGCCCACCUUGUUACAAAAUGAUACAAUCAGUAAGAGGGAAUUGAUUAUAGUGAUACUUGUAGCCCAGUGGCUAAACCAAUGACCAUUCGAAUACUUUUCACUCUUGCAGUUCAAUCCAAUUGGUUUAUGCAUCAAUUGGAUGUCAUCAAUGCCUUUUUACAUGGCUUCUUAAAGGAAAAUGUUUAUAUGUCCCAACCUCCUGGCUUUAUUGAUCAAUACCACCCUACUCAUGUCUGUCACGUACAAAAAUCUCUCUAUAGUCUAAAGCAAGCUCCUCGAGCAUGGUUUGAGAAACUUCAAUCUGCCUUAUUUUCCAUAGGAUUUAAGGCUUCUCAAUCUGAUCACAGUUUGUUUGUUCUUAAGCAACCUAUAUUGGUUCUGGUCUUAGUCUAUGUUGACGAUAUAAUAGUCACAGGACCCUCUUCAAAUGCAUGUGUUAAUGUGAUCACUCAGCUCAGUGCUCAGUUUCCAGUCAAGGACUUAGGGGCUUUGCAUUACUUCCUUGGCUUGGAAGUUACUCGAUCUGCAUCAGGAAUCUUUCUUCAUCAGUCCAAAUAUAUAUUGGAUCUUCUCAAAAGAACCAAAAUGGAUAGUGCAAAACCUUGUUUAACAUCACUUGGUUCUGCAAAAUUGGAUCUCACAGGUUCUCCAUUAACCAAUCCUGAAGAAUAUCGCUCAAUAGUCGAGGCACUCCAGUAUCUCACAUGGACUCAUCCUGAUAUUUCCUUUGCAAUCAACUUAGUGUGCCAGUUUAUGCACUCCCCUAAAGACUAACAUUUUAAAGAUGUUAAACGUAUUCUUCGAUAUCUCAAAGGCACUCUCAGGCAUGGCUUAUGGUUUCCCAAAACUGCUUCCCCUUUAACACUUAAAGAUGCUCUACUGGUGGUUUCUGCAUAUUCCUUGGUUCCUCCAUCAUUAGUUGGAGUGCCAAGAAGCAACACACUGUUGCUCGUUCAUCAACCGAAACUGAGUAUAGGUCAUUUGCGCACACUGCUGCAGAAUUGACUUGGAUAUGCAAUCUCUUUACAGAUAUUGGUUUUCAGUUACCUUUUCUACCGCAGAUUUGGUGCGACAACAUUUCAGCGAUUGCAUUGGCUUCCAAUCCAGUGUUUCAUGCUCGCACUAAACACGUCGAAAUCGACUAUUAUUACAUACGAGAAUUGGUUCUUGCCAAACUCCUCACAGUUCAGUUUGUGUGCAGCCAGGACCAAAUUGCUGACAUUCAUACGAAAUCUCUUCCUCGACAAUACAUCUUCGAGACAAGCUUUCACUUUGCCCUUCUCCACUUAGCUUGAGGGGGUGUGAAGAGAAAGUUACCACUGUUAAAUAGAGCUGUCAAAAGUUAGUUAGGGUUUUACUUUUGUAAUUUACCCUUGUAGUUAAGUUGUUACUUUUAGCUUCUCUUGUAACUUAAUUAUUAAAUAAUGAAAUCAUUUUUUCAACAACAUCAACUCCUCAACUCCAGGAAAUAGAGUUGCUGAUUGAAAAGAUUGAGCAACUAUCUCUUUCCCAGGUUCCGAGACCUUAACCCCAUCUGCAAGAUCAUGAACUAUAUACUCCAAAACCCGAGUUGCUGGGUUUACUGCACGACACACAAUGUGAUUCCCAACUAUCACAUUAUUCAUUGAUUUCAGCUCAUAAUCCAAAAGGUCAGUAUCUCCAAUAUGUUAAGCGAGCUGCAUCUCGCACAUCUUGCCAGGUCAUCCCUCCAUGACCACUCUCUUUCUUUUCUUGCACUCUCUUUCUUUUCUUGCAAUGCAUUCACAAUCACAUCCGCUGGAAACUCGAGUCUUCUUGUAGGCCAUCUGUUAUCCAUGUCACCUUGUUGAAUACCCAAAGAAAUCUCCAACUGGUAGCGCCAUUUUAUAUAAUCCAACAAUAUUCUUGAAAUUGGGAGCACAACAGAAACACAAAUACCCAAAUCUUGAACAAGUAUACUUCCAAAAGACAACACAAGCCACAACCAAGUAGUAUAGCUGUAAUUAUUAACUAGCAACAAAAAACUUGAAAAACCCAUAAAAUAUCCAUUCUAAUUGUUCAAGAAUUCAAAGAAAAGGGACUGAAAACAUAACCUUCACAUGAAACUUUUGAGUUGGGUAUUUUGACAAACACCUGGAGUGCACCCAUGUCUGAUCUUUCUUCCAUACCAGAGAACAAAGAAUUCACUGACCCAUUUCUUCAAACAGUUGGAGUGCACAGAAUUAGAACAUGAAGAGCUCCCAAGACCAGAAUCCACCUUCAGCCUCCAGAAAAUCGCCAACUAGAGGAAAUGGAAUUAGUGCAAUUGGACCUUUCUUGUCCCUCCAACCUUCCACCGUUGACCACACAAGAUCUGAAGAAGAAAACUCCAGUGCAGGUCAAUCUGGGUUUUUCUGCAAAUGGCAAAGGCAAACUCGGCCGAAGUACUUAACUACAUUGAGAUAACAUAUUCAUUGGUGGUGGUCUGCAAAACUCCAAAAGCAUCAAAUUUUGAAUACCAGAGAAACCCACUUAGCAAUUUCCCAUGAAAUCUUGGGCAACUCCAUCAGAUGCAGGAAAACCAAAAAUUAAAUCCAAAGACACGAGCUUUUCAUUCUAGAAUUGGGAAUUUCUUAUCGCGGAAGCAUCGAAAAUCUAAAGAAAAUUUGAGGAGAAACUAAACUAGAGAAGGAAAGAAAAGAAAAAAAAAUAAAAAAUGCAAACUACUAAGAAGUGGAACCACCAGAAUCCAUGGCGUGAGCCUGGUGGCUCUGAUACCAUAUUAACUACAUUGCAAAAGAUGAAAUUGGUACAGAGGAAAAGAAAGAAUUGGUAGAGAGAAACAAGAGAGAUUGUAUUGACUGAUUAGAGAAAAUGUAUACAACUGAACUUAAGGAAAUGAAUGAUAGAUAUACAAUCCCUUAUAUAGCCAUAUACCUCAAUUACAAUAAUACCCUUCUAACUAUAUUCCUAUUAUAUCAGUUAUUACAAACACCUAUCUUUUAAUUAUUUUUACAUAAUAUCAUCCAAAUCGAAAAUUAUAUUACAGUUUGAUUAAAUGAUGGUCAUUUUAGUGUUCUUAGAAUUGUUUAAGUUGUAGAAAACAAUGUCCUGAAAAGGAAAAAAAAAAGUUUAGAAUGAGAGCACGAAUUAUAAGUCGUAUCAUCUCAAUUGAUCAUUUCGUGAACAAUCUCUCUAAAAAAAGUGGAACCUACAAUCUUAGUACUGGCUGGUGAGUUGAGAUAAUACAAAUCGACCUUGCUCUUUAGGACGACUAAUUCAACAAGGUUUAAAGAUUCAACUUGAAGGAGGUUCUAGAUGAUAUAGUUCUCAAGAAUUACGGACUUGGAAGUGAAAUCUAUCAAAUUUGUUGUUGGAGUUUUCUCUUUUUUUUUUUCAAUGGCCAUUUGCUUUUAUGUAUAUUAUACACGAAGAAAAAUAAAUGGUCUCACUGUGAAAGUGACAUUUUCUUGGGCAAAAGACUUUUCAUGGUGUACGUACAAAUUAUGAAAGUUGAUUGUUUAUGCACCAAUAUAAUUGGAAGCUCUCCACCAAAGUUUUUUAAAAAAUAGAAAAAAUGUAAAAGAAAACAGAACAUCGAUGCUUCAUUUUCAACAUAUUAGGUAAUGCCCUAAUAUUGGCCCCCCAUGACAUAAGUAGGGAUUCUAAAUGUAUGAUAAUAUUAUGGUGAGAGUGAUAGAGAAAGAUCAGUAUGGGUUGGGUUGGUUUUCUCAACCCAGAAAAUAUUAGUAGCAAAUGGAUAUUGAUCUUAAGGGGAAACGAUAAUUUAAAAUAUAACUUUUAGAUUAACUAUAUGUCAUAAAGUGCAGUAUUUUCUAUUCGACUUUAACAUGGAUGAACUAUGAUAUAUAUGAUAUCGUGUCGAGUUGGGAACAGUUUAUCCAAACAUAAGACGUGUAUAUGACCACUCCACUAUUCCGAAGUUUUUUUUUUCUGGAUUAGGAACACACAAUUUUGGACAUUUUCCCUACGAAUUAAAACUGACUUUGUUGACAGAAAUGUAAACA